AGACAUAAAAAGAAAUUUGAAACAGCUGAGCAAUGACAUACUGUUCACGAACAUUCAGACACCCCCCACGCUGCUGUGGAAGGCGUUAAGAGGUCUCCACCAAUGUGCUCCUGACUCACACAGACACCUCCAGAACCCUACUGUGUCUCUACCCAGAUGAGAGCACCCUCUCUGGGGCCACGGUGUAUUCAUGAGGGGCCAUGAGCUGGGGAACUGGCAUUCAAGACAGGAAAUGGAGAUGUCUUCAGAUGAUGACUGAACUGUGUGCAGUGAAAGAACAAGAAAACUGCAAGGCCAGAGAGAAGACAGGCUUACAUACAUUAUGUGGAUGGAGACAAGCCUUGCUGCAUCAUUUGUAAAUGUUUGAAGUGGUUUUGAAGGUGUUUAGGGGGUUGUGUUGGUCUGUUUUAAAGAGAACUGGUGUACACACUCUCAUAGCCAGACUACCAAACUGCUGCAGUAAGCAUGCUCUCCCACGACAUCUUAGAACCACUAAGGCCAGGGUCAGCACUCUCUCCUUUUUUUACCCAUCCUCUUUUACUAACUCUCCCUCUCUCUCUCAAUUCUCUCACUAGCCUUUGAUGCCCAUCAAAACUAAUUUUAACAUGUGGUUGUUUGUUCAUUUUUUUUUUUUUUUUUUUUUUGCAUGACUUUCAACUGUACUGAGAAAAUAAACAGCUGCACUGGCCAAAAAUAACAGGUACUUACCGUAAAUAUUCACAGCUAAGAUUCUCACUUUUUGCUAAAACAAAUACAAGAGAUUGAGCCGCAGCAUGAGUUCCCAUUACCAGCAGCUGAAUGCUUUCCUUUGCAUAUUCUUUGAGGAUUGGUUGCUUGCAUCUGGAAAAGCAACUCUGUUUGGGUGAUGGAAAAAAAUAGGACAUAAACAUCCCUCAGAAAGAUUAACAACCUUGCUUACUUUGAAUGUUUACUAGGGUAAUGGGAAAUAAUCCAGCCUUACCAAAAACAGUGCAUAAAAUAUAGUUAACCCACAUGCAAAUUUUAUGCAAAAUAACACAGUUAAAAUCUUUUUUUUUUCUUUUUUUUUUUCAGUAAGUAUAUCGAAACAAAAGUACUAAAGUGACUGCCCACUUUUAAAUUUUUUUUGUUUCUGAAGUAUUUAUUCAUAUACAUUUUCUCCAUAGGUAUUUAAAAACAAAUAAAUAAAUAUAUAAAAUAAAUAAAAAUAUAACAGGUGAGACAAAAGGUAGAAUAAUGUAAUAAAAUUAAAAACAUUGGUACGUUAUCAAAAUAUUCACUAUAAUUAAUUAAUUAAUUAUGUAUAACAUACCAUAUAACAACAACUUAUCUGAUUGGUGCAUCUCUCUUCAGGACUAUGGGUAGUGUAGUUCUCAAUUUCACAUACAUUAACACGGACAUCUACUGAAACAUAUAUCAUUGCUUAACUUUUUUAUGAGUAGAGUAGAGUAGGGAAUAUAAUUGUCAUGGCUCCAGUAUUUACCGGUUCAUUCUGUUGUUUGUUUUCUUCUCUCCCUCUUGUGUCAUAGGUGGAGUCGGUGAGCGUAAUCGGUGUUUCCUUGGGAACGCUGAUCGCUCCCAGAGAGACGCUGAUUACGGUAAUGGUUUUCUCACAUGCUCCACCUGUCCUCCUCUUAUUGCUCUCCCUAUUUCAUCCCUUGUGUUUUCCCUGUAUGUUUGCUGGUUUAUUGUUUGCUGUACCUUAACGUUGUUCUCUUGUUUAGUGUGAAGUUCCAUUCUGUUGGUUGCUUUGUCUCGGGAGUGGUGUGUGCCCACCAGAUCACUGUUGCCCUGGUGAUCGUGCUCGAGGAGGAUUCCUUGGAUUCUGCCCGCAUGUCGGGAGACUUGCUUAUCUGGGCUCUGCUCCGCACCACACCUUUCUGCUAUGGAUUGUUCCGGACCUCCACAGCACUACACACUAACGAACACACUAUCCUCGCCCCAGUGGCUUCCUUAUUGAGUUCGACCAAGCUGGCGCAGGAACACUUGUUGUGUUUAUUGAACAUUAAAGACUUUUUGAUUUAUCCCCUAUGGUCUUGGGUCCUUUGUCCCAACGAAAUGCCUGACAAUAAUAUAGCAAACGUGAAUAAAUGGGUUAUGUCUGCUGUACUGUUUUUGUUUUAUUUAUUUAAUUUUUAUAACUGUAAAAAAUAAAUGAACAAAUAAUAUUAUCAGUCCGGUUUGCCUAUAUGCAUUGUUUGACUUCUCAGACAUUGUGUGUGUCUUGUGUUUUUGCAUGGCUGUGUGUUUGUGUGUGUGUGUGUGUGUGUGUGUGUGUAAAGAGCGUUUGAGUUGAGAUACGCAUCUCCACCUAAUUAGUAGACGUGGCUGCGUGCAUGGGAAGAUGGUUGUGCAUAUACAAGCUGUGAACUGUUAUCAUGGUACUUUGGUGACAGUUUGGCUGUUUGUUACAUGAACAUUAUGUGCUUGAAAAGAUUUUUUGAGUAUCUGUUUGUUUGACAAAUGACAACUGUUAAUAAUGUAAACAAAUGGCAGCACACAUCGGAGGAAGAUCGCGUUUGAUGUAUUGACUGUACGUAUAAGAUCUGUAAACUUUUUAUUGUGGUACUUUGGU
Long non-coding RNA from Myxocyprinus asiaticus (Chinese sucker), 2554 nucleotides. RefSeq lists it as uncharacterized. NCBI's taxonomy places the organism in Eukaryota, Metazoa, Chordata, Actinopteri, Cypriniformes, Catostomidae. The transcript has 3 exons. The record is from RefSeq and is a predicted model, not a curated record.